UACGAAGGGGGCUAGCGUUGCUCGGAAUGACUGGGCGUAAAGGGCGCGUAGGCGGCUUGGUAAGUCGGGGGUGAAAGUCAGCGGCUCAACCGCUGGACUGCCUUCGAGACUGCCUGGCUUGAGCAUGGUAGAGGCUGGCGGAAUUCCCGGUGUAGCGGUGGAAUGCGUAGAGAUCGGGAAGAACAUCGGUGGCGAAGGCGGCCAGCUGGGCCAUUGCUGACGCUGAUGCGCGACAGCGUGGGGAGCAAACAGG
Molecule: ribosomal RNA, 253 nt
Filed under: uncultured bacterium
Lineage: Bacteria
Description: partial 16S ribosomal RNA
Rfam family: Bacterial small subunit ribosomal RNA
Source: RNAcentral